Molecule: small RNA, 31 nt
Filed under: Bombyx mori (domestic silkworm)
Lineage: Eukaryota; Metazoa; Arthropoda; Insecta; Lepidoptera; Bombycidae
Description: ovarian small RNA-4201
Source: RNAcentral
AAAUCCGCUAAACACCACAUCAAGCGUGGGU